AAUGAACGCUGGCGGCAGGCCUAACACAUGCAAGUCGAACGGCAGCACAGAGGAGCUUGCUCCUUGGGUGGCGAGUGGCGGACGGGUGAGGAAUACGUCGGAAUCUGCCUAUUUGUGGGGGAUAACGUAGGGAAACUUACGCUAAUACCGCAUACGACCUUAGGGUGAAAGCGGAGGACCUUCGGCGUUCGCGCAGAUAGAUGAGCCGACGUCGGAUUAG
This 220-nucleotide ribosomal RNA is filed under the name uncultured bacterium. Its description in RNAcentral is "partial 16S ribosomal RNA". It matches the Rfam family "Bacterial small subunit ribosomal RNA", at positions 29 to 244 of the family's 1533-position model. The record is from RNAcentral.